Oreochromis niloticus (Nile tilapia) is the source of this 68-nucleotide microRNA precursor. Lineage: Eukaryota; Metazoa; Chordata; Actinopteri; Cichliformes; Cichlidae. The record is from Ensembl.
AACAGCCAGUCUCUAAAACAAAGGAUAAUAUAUAGGUUUGCCUUUUUGCUUUAGAGACUGGCUGUUCU